UACGUAGGGUCCGAGCGUUGUCCGGAAUUACUGGGCGUAAAGAGCUCGUAGGUGGUUUGUCGCGUUGUUCGUGAAAACUCACAGCUCAACUGUGGGCGUGCGGGCGAUACGGGCAGACUAGAGUACUGCAGGGGAGACUGGAAUUCCUGGUGUAGCGGUGGAAUGCGCAGAUAUCAGGGGGAACACCGGUGGCGAAGGCGGGUCUCUGGGCAGUAACUGACGCUGAGGAGCGAAAGCGUGGGGAGCGAACAGG
This 253-nucleotide ribosomal RNA is filed under the name uncultured bacterium. RNAcentral's name for it is "partial 16S ribosomal RNA". It matches the Rfam family "Bacterial small subunit ribosomal RNA", at positions 524 to 776 of the family's 1533-position model. The record is from RNAcentral.